This 497-nucleotide ribosomal RNA is filed under the name uncultured bacterium. Its description in RNAcentral is "partial 16S ribosomal RNA". It matches the Rfam family "Bacterial small subunit ribosomal RNA", at positions 28 to 507 of the family's 1533-position model. The record is from RNAcentral.
GAUGAACGCUGGCGGCGUGCCUAAUACAUGCAAGUCGAGCGAACGGACGAGAAGCUUGCUUCUCUGAUGUUAGCGGCGGACGGGUGAGUAACACGUGGAUAACCUACCUAUAAGACUGGGAUAACUUCGGGAAACCGGAGCUAAUACCGGAUGAUAUUUUGAACCGCAUGGUUCAAAAGUGAAAGACGGUCUUGCUGUCACUUAUAGAUGGAUCCGCGCUGCAUUAGCUAGUUGGUAAGGUAACGGCUUACCAAGGCAACGAUGCAUAGCCGACCUGAGAGGGUGAUCGGCCACACAGGAACUGAGACACGGUCCAGACUCCUACGGGAGGCAGCAGUAGGGAAUCUUCCGCAAUGGGCGAAAGCCUGACGGAGCAACGCCGAGUGAGUGAUGAAGGUCUUCGGAUCGUAAAACUCUGUUAUGAGGGAAGAACAUAUGUGUAAGUAACUGUGCACAUCUUGACGGUACCUAAUCAGAAAGCCACGGCUAACUACGUG